GAAAACCCUACAAGGAUAUUCAACUGCAGAGAAGUAAAGACUGCAAGAUUGAACACUCACUUUAGAAGCACCCCAGAAGCAGACUCACUUCAUGAAGCCUUGAUCUGCACUACCAUGAAGAUCUGGAACUUUAAAUAAAUAAAAGGCAGAAGUCCAUACUAGGAGAAAAGCUCUGUUCUCUGCAGCAUGAUAACCCAUCGGGAAACAGAAAAGGUCCUGCCUGAUCUAAAGCUGUGGAAAUCCUUCAACUCAAAAGACAAGGCUCACUGGCAGUUUCAGAGAACCAAGACAAUAAACAUAAAACUGAUAUCCAAGAGGAUAAACAUAAAACUGAUCUUCUGUCCAUACAGUGACACCUUAGAGACUCCAGGAAAGAUCCAGUCAAAUUCACAUACAUUCAGUGAUAGACUCUCUACCCUACUGGAAUCAAUGGAAUUAUGUAUAAAUUGUACAGCGUCGUGUCCGUGA
This 468-nucleotide long non-coding RNA is filed under the name Anser brachyrhynchus (Pink-footed goose). RNAcentral's name for it is "lncRNA (ENSABRG00000020024.1)". The record is from RNAcentral. Lineage: Eukaryota; Metazoa; Chordata; Aves; Anseriformes; Anatidae.